GACUGAGGACAUUUCCUUUCGGGAGAUAACACCCAUGAUGUUCGGCGUAUGGCAUGCUGAAAACUCAUCGUCCAACAAUUAACUUACUGGGGGUUAGGGAGGUGCCAUAAAGAAAGAAUGAUAUAAAGAUUUCUAUCACGAGGAGACACUUGAUUGCCUGUUCUCAGCGUUGAAUUCUAUCGUAAGGCAAGUCUCAAUUUUUCUUUUUUUUAAAAGAAAGAUUUUGUAAUCCUGUUUCAAAACAUGUAUCUGCCGAUAUGAAGUGAUAAAAUGUCGUUCCAUGGACUGGCUCUGGCCCCCAAAUUAGGAACACAAUGUGCUUUAAGAAUACUGACAACAGAGGAGCCAAGGAGAAGGUUUCAAACAAACUAAUCAGGGCUUGGAGAGAUGACUCAGUGUUAAAUGUUCUCCGCUCUUCAAGAGAACCUGAGCUCAGAUCUCAGGACGCACGUUUCUGUGAGUUCAGAUCUCAGGACGCAUGUUUCACAAGCACCUAUAACUCCAGCCACAGGGCACCCGAUACCCUCUCCUGGCCUCCCCAUACCUGCUCAGUUGUGAGAUACCUUCGCUCUGACACAAAAACACAUGGGUCAAAAUACAGCUCAGACUCACACAGAGAGAGGAGUAGCCGAGGUUAGGUGGACCGAGCAGGCUGACAAAGAAGCCCUCAGCACCCCAGAAGCUCGGCGUGCUGCUUCUGUGCGGUUGAGCAGGGGGGCUGGGUUAUUUCACACAGCUGAACGAGGAGGCAGGGUUUAUGGUGUACAGCAGGACCAGCGAGACAGGUUUUGUUCAUCUCAGUAGAGACGGUCUCCUUAGGGGAGAAGUCUUUAGGCUAGAAACAGAGGGAGACAGCAGUGGUCAACAUUUUUGGGCAAAUUAUCAACACUCGAAUUCAGACCAGGAGGGACGCCUUUGCCAUGUCCACAAGCCUAACCCAGCGAAGGGCUAUUUUCUGCCAUUUUCCUACGGGUCUGAGGCUCAGUUUCUUGACAAGGCUGUGCCCGUGUCCAAAGCACACAUUCUCUCAGGACUUCACCCAGGGCUGGCUCUCUGUCUACAUUUACCCUUAAAGAACAAUGGCUCUUCUCACCCCCACGGCCUCCAAUUCCAAUGCCUCGUCAGCCAGGGUGGGGACUCGUGAGUUUCUCCUUCAGCAUGGCGGGAUGCUCAGUGGCUGGGUCUCCUGCAGAUCCUAUAUCCACAGUAUCCACAGCUGUUCUGAUGUGAGCCUGGAGGGCAAUGACCACGUCCUGUCUAGGAGACACUAUUCAUAGCACUCUGCCCGGCCUCCAGUUCUUAUAUUCUUCUGCCUACUCUUCCACCAUGUUCCCCGAGCCUGGGUGCAGGGGAGGGGGAGGCUGAUACAACGUCCCAGUUAGGUCUGACCACUCAGGGUCACUUAUGCCCCUCACUCUGACCAGUUGUGAGUCUAUGUAGUAACCACUGCCCACCACAAGCCGACAACUCCCCGACCCAGUCUUGAGAGCACGCCAAUCUACAGUUAUAAAUAUUUAAAAGGCAGCUUGACAACACGAUCAUUUAGAAAACCGGUGAUCACAGGUCCCCUGCAAGCAUUUAUGGCCUUCCUGGCCAUGGGCUUUGGACUAAGUUUACAGAGUCGAGUGGAGCAAGCCCCAUAUGCAGUCGAAGGGCAGCUGGUUGCACCGUAAAAGCAUGCCGCUAAUGCACCACCACUGGGCACUGCAGCAGGCAGGAGACUGCAGAUGUGUUUUGUCCCACUGUAGUCCGAAUAACCCCUUCCAGGAUCAUAGAAGUCGGCCAUCAGGGAAGGCAUUUCCUAGUCAGUUGCAGCUUGGAUUCUCUGUCUCCAAACAAAAGUAUGUAGUGUAUGUAUGUAGUAUUCAGCAGUGGGCUCUUAUCAUCUAGGACAGUUAAGAAUUAUGGUAAUAAUAUGUAUUGUUUCAGGUCCCUUGGGAACCUCUCCAAGCAAUAAUUUUCGGCAGGUGUCCCGUACCUGGCAUUGAGGCUUUUGUUUUAUACUUUGGGCUUUCUGGGAGAAGGGUUACCCAUCCUUCACUCAUUCUUGCCGAGUAACUCCAUGCAAACUGCCCUAUGUAAUACUUUUAUCUUUUUACAUUAUCAGUUUGGGUUAACUACCUGUUGACGUAUGUUGAACUAUCCCUGCAUCUCUGGAGGAAAAAAAAAUCCAAUUUGUUGAUUGUAGCAGUUGCUGGACAUCUUAAAAGCAGCAGUGUCAAACAACCAGAACCCUCAGAACCCCCAGGGACUAAACCACCAACCAGUGAGUACACAUGGAGGGACUCAUGGCUCCAGCCACAUAUGUAGCAGAGGAUGGCCUUGUCUGGCAUCAAUAGGAAAAGAGGCCCUUGGUUCUGUGAAGGCUCAUUUCCCCAGUGUAGGGGAACGCCAGAUCAGUGAGGUGGGAGUGGGUGGGUGG
This is a non-coding RNA of Rattus norvegicus (Norway rat), 2422 nucleotides long. The record is from RefSeq and is a predicted model, not a curated record. Lineage: Eukaryota; Metazoa; Chordata; Mammalia; Rodentia; Muridae.